RNA transcript from Ictalurus punctatus (channel catfish), 1391 nucleotides. RefSeq lists it as uncharacterized. The transcript is spliced from 4 exons. NCBI's taxonomy places the organism in Eukaryota, Metazoa, Chordata, Actinopteri, Siluriformes, Ictaluridae. The record is from RefSeq and is a predicted model, not a curated record.
UUUGUAUUUUUUAUUUUAUAUCAGUGUAUAUUUGUACAUUAACACUGUUUGCAGUCUUGAAUUAACAUUUGAUUUGAAAAAAUCAUUAGUUUUAAUACGUUUUGUCUUUUUCAGUAGGAGGAACAGAAACUUCAACACGCUCGAGGAAAACAGACACAACACCUUCAUCAGAACCGUCUCAGAGCACAACAACAAACUCUCCACCUGCAUCAUCCUCAACAACACUGGAACAAGAUAAACAGCAAACACACAGCAGCCUCCUUCUAGUUUUCAGCAUUCUGGCGGUUUUAUUUUUGGUGAUACCCGGACUACUGGCAUUUAUUUGUUGGAGACGCAAAGGAGGAAGACGUGGAGAGAACGUGAUUACUGAAGGACGUCCGGACUGUAAGAGAAAGUAUAAGGAUCAGACUGAACCUGAUGUUAGUUACUCUACUGUAACCCACGUGAACACAGCCGGAGCAGCACGGGUCCAGAUCAACGCUGGAGACAAAACUGAAUAUGCCAGCAUUCUAACAAUCUAAUCCACAGUAAAUAUACAUACAUUUAUAUAUUAUAUAUAAUGUUUUCAUACCAUUAAAAAGCAAAUUCAUCAGAUUCAUCCAGAGUAUUGUGUUACAUUUACUUUAGCUAAGGUUAUUGUUCUGCAUUCACUGUUAAUGUCUGUUAAUGAAUAAAAAAACUGCAGAUGGAUAAAUCUUGCUAAUUAUAUUUUGAGUGUACAUGUCAAUUUUUAUGUUAUGCAUAUUAUUCUUAUAUAAUCAAUUAAAGUUCUAGAAGUUUUUGCCAUCAUACUGUUUUGUGCAAAAAGACGUAUGCUGUAUAUACUGUAUGUAGCCAAAUGUAAAAAUAUGACAGUGUACAUGUUGAGUGUGGAGUAUUACAGAGUAUUCUCUGUGCAUGCCACAGCGUCAGUUAACUGAUGCUGUGGGAAACAGGAAGUAGCCAUUUUCCCAUCAGCCCCCAUGCUGUCCUGCCACAAUCAUGUGGUUACUCUGACAUACUGAGUGUCCCACACUGGCUCUAACAUGAGAGCAUUAUUUAUGUUCACAACUGUGGUUUUAUUAACACUGCCAGAGGUGGUGAAAAUCACUCAGAUACCAUCCUGUGUGCAUACAUGCUGAGACCAUUCAACAUAGUCACAAAGUAAUGUACAACAAAGUAUUUGCAGUAUAUCACUGUCAUAUUGACGUCUUUCCCUGGAAACUUCUUACAUUUACUCUGGAACCAUAGUUACAUGCUUAACUAGCAUACUGUUUCAACUUCACUUUAUAUCUACCUUAACAGAAAUGACUGUAAUAAACAAAAUUCUAUGAUUUACAAAAAUGCUGUACCUACGUUAAUUUGACAACUAGUGUGGCUAUAAAACAGAAGGUGGUUCUUCAAAACUGACA